RNAcentral lists this ribosomal RNA (523 nucleotides) under Bacillus tropicus. RNAcentral's name for it is "partial 23S ribosomal RNA". It matches the Rfam family "Bacterial large subunit ribosomal RNA", at positions 1843 to 2365 of the family's 2925-position model. Lineage: Bacteria; Bacillati; Bacillota; Bacilli; Caryophanales; Bacillaceae. RNAcentral also lists the same sequence under 1 other name. The record is from RNAcentral.
GUAUAGGGGGUGACACCUGCCCGGUGCUGGAAGGUUAAGGAGAGGGGUUAGCGUAAGCGAAGCUCUGAACUGAAGCCCCAGUAAACGGCGGCCGUAACUAUAACGGUCCUAAGGUAGCGAAAUUCCUUGUCGGGUAAGUUCCGACCCGCACGAAAGGUGUAACGAUUUGGGCACUGUCUCAACCAGAGACUCGGUGAAAUUAUAGUACCUGUGAAGAUGCAGGUUACCCGCGACAGGACGGAAAGACCCCGUGGAGCUUUACUGUAGCCUGAUAUUGAAUUUUGGUACAGUUUGUACAGGAUAGGCGGGAGCCUUUGAAACCGGAGCGCUAGCUUCGGUGGAGGCGCUGGUGGGAUACCGCCCUGACUGUAUUGAAAUUCUAACCUACGGGUCUUAUCGACCCGGGAGACAGUGUCAGGUGGGCAGUUUGACUGGGGCGGUCGCCUCCUAAAGUGUAACGGAGGCGCCCAAAGGUUCCCUCAGAAUGGUUGGAAAUCAUUCGUAGAGUGCAAAGGCAUAAGGG